Molecule: long non-coding RNA, 134 nt
Organism: Corvus hawaiiensis (hawaiian crow)
Lineage: Eukaryota; Metazoa; Chordata; Aves; Passeriformes; Corvidae
Exons: 3
Source: RefSeq, a predicted model, not a curated record
GGAGGGGACACCCAGGUGACACUUGAGGGGUUUGGGGACACCCAGGUGACAUUGGAGGGACAAUGGGGACACCCAGGUGACAUUGGGGACAAUGGGGACACCCAGGUGACAUUGGAGGGACAAUGGGGACACCC